CUGGCGUCAGGAUAGCUUUUUAAGUAAACUUUUUUAAUUGAAGUAUAAUAUACACACAGAAAAAUGCAAAGUCAUAGUUGUACAACUUGAAUUUUUACAAAGAACAUAGCCUUAUAAUCAGUACCAAGAUCAGGAGAUAGAAUGUACCAGCAUCCUGUAAGUCUCCCUGUGCUCCACUCCACUCAUUACUUCUCUCUCAUGGUACCCUCUAUUCUAAAUUCCAUCACCACAGGUUUACGUAAAUGGAAUCAUCAGCAUAGAUUAAUUAUUGCUGCGUGGUAUUCCGUUACAUGAAUAUACCACAGUUUACUGCCUACUGUUGAUGGGCAUUUGAGUUAUUUCCAGAGGGAUUAUUUUGACUGCAGAAAAUCUACAAGUCAUUCAGGAAAAAAGAAAAACUGGUUAGAGUAACCAAGGUCAGGGACUUAGUUUCACAUGUUGCUGCAUCAGCUGCCUUUUAAUAAAUGAUCGUCACAGCAGUAUUUUUUGACACUCGCCGUAUGCUGAGCUCUCCUAAUCACUGCACAUACUCAAUACAACCACUGUAUGAAGCAGGUGCUGUACUUAGCUCCAUGUUACAGUUGAGGAAGGAUUAAUUAGGUUGCCUGAGGACAUGGGAAGUAGCAGAGUAGGGAUUCAAUACAGGCAGCCUGGUUUCAGAGCCCAUGUUCCAGCCAUCACAGUAUUGCUCUAUAGAAAUCAGAGGUAAGGUCUGUGACAAGUAUGUCUCAGUAACAGAAGAGUGGGUUGUUUGAAGAGACUGAUAAUGCUCCUUAGGGGUGGAGGAGAAUAUCAGGAUCAAGUCAAGAUAAGGGGACACUGUGCCUGACUUCACAGAAAGGAAGGUAGAUGGGGAAUAGGCAUCACGAGGGAAAACAGGUUGAGAUACAACAGUACGAUGUGUUUAGUACAGACUGUCUUUAUGGCUGUUGCAAGGAGGUAGUCUGUCCUAGGAGGCAGAGGACCUCGUUCUUAGGUCCCCCCACCCUUAGUGGCUGUGCGGCGUUGGGAGAUUGUUAAACAUCUAUACCUCUCAAUACCAUCUGAAAAUAGGUAUUUUCUAUCACGUAGAUGAACCAGAGAGCUGGCUGGUUUGAGACAUGGGGAUAGUUUGGGAACAAUGAAACCCAUCAGAUUGAUGGGAAAAUAGAGCAGACGCCUCUGGUACCCAUGUCACAUCCCUAGGGACACUUCUUUUCAGCUGUAGCUGUGGUGGAUGGUUCUGUGUGAACUCAGAACUCACCUUGCCCUGCUCAAGUGCUCUUUAUCUUCACAAGAAUAAAAGCUUACAAUGGUUUAUUUA
Molecule: non-coding RNA, 1303 nt
Organism: Equus caballus (horse)
Lineage: Eukaryota; Metazoa; Chordata; Mammalia; Perissodactyla; Equidae
Source: RefSeq, a predicted model, not a curated record